This 301-nucleotide ribosomal RNA is filed under the name uncultured bacterium. Its description in RNAcentral is "partial 16S ribosomal RNA". It matches the Rfam family "Bacterial small subunit ribosomal RNA", at positions 509 to 807 of the family's 1533-position model. The record is from RNAcentral.
CAGCAGCCGCGGUAAUACGGAGGGUGCAAGCGUUAAUCGGAAUUACUGGGCGUAAAGCGCACGCAGGCGGUCUGACAAGUCAGAUGUGAAAUCCCCGGGCUUAACCUGGGAACUGCAUUUGAAACUGUCAGGCUGGAGUCUUGUAGAGGGGGGUGGAAUUCCAGGUGUAGCGGUGAAAUGCGUAGAGAUCUGGAGGAAUACCGGUGGCGAAGGCGGCCCCCUGGACAAAGACUGACGCUCAGGUGCGAAAGCGUGGGGAGCAAACAGGAUUAGAGACCCGAGUAGUCCCUGUCUCUUAUAC